CCUACGGUUGGCAGCAGUGGGGGAUAUUGGACAAUGGGGGGAACCCUGAUCCAGCGACGCCGCGUGAGUGAAGAAGUAUUUCGGUAUGUAAAGCUCUGUCAGCAGGGAAGAAAGAAAUGACGGUACCUGACCAAGAAGCCUCGGCUAACUACGUGCCAGCAGCCGCGGUAAUACGUAGGGGGCAAGCGUUAUCCGGAAUUACUGGGUGUAAAGGGAGCGUAGACGGUGAAGUAAGUCUGGAGUGAAAGGCCGGGGCUCAACCCCGGGACUGCUCUGGAAACUAUUUAACUUGAGUGCAGGGGAGGUAAGCGGAAUUCCUAGUGUAGCGGUGAAAUGCGUAGAUAUUAGGAGGAACACCAGUGGCGAAGGCGGCUUACUGGACUGUAACUGACGUUGAGGCUCGAAAGCGUGGGGAGCAAACAGGAUUAGAUACCCUGGUAGUC
This 443-nucleotide ribosomal RNA is filed under the name uncultured bacterium. RNAcentral's name for it is "partial 16S ribosomal RNA". It matches the Rfam family "Bacterial small subunit ribosomal RNA", at positions 338 to 795 of the family's 1533-position model. The record is from RNAcentral.